AUGGUUUCCCACCUAUGGUGUGCCCCUCCUCGAGCCGCCACAGAGAGUAGCGAAGAAAAUCAAGAAAACAUGGCCGAUCGAUUCGGCCCUGGUCAUGGUGGUGGUGGAAGAGAGGAAGGAGGGGGGAACAACUGGAGGCCGAAGCAAGGAUUUGGAAGAGAUCCAGCAUAUGAUCGUUUCGAUCAGGGCUUCUCACCUUUCAGGAAUUUCCCAGGUAACCAGCACAACCAAUCUUAUGGUAGGAGGGAGGGUUUUGGAGAUUAUAAUCAGAAUGGAGGGAAUUGGGAUGCGCGUCCUCCGCCCCGCAGGCCUUUUGUUCAAAAUAAUUUGACCCCAGUGGCCAGCACUUACCAGCAGAAGGUGAACACAGCCAGUGGGGGAGGGGGUAGUGACGCUCAAGUUUCCAAAGCAAACUCAGCAGGUGCUGUGCUGACAGGGAAUCAGGGGUCUGUGGUUGUUUCUGAAAGAAAAACGCCAUCGAAUGACAAAAUCGUGUGUCACAAGUGUGGAAAGAAGGGACAUAAUUCCAAGGGCUGCGAAGCAAAAGUUAUGUGCGUGAUUUGCUCUAAGGAUACACACAUAUCUGAUUUCUGUGCCUGGCUACAUCAGAAAAAACCAGUUGCCACUUUGGUUGGUUUCGGAGGGGAAGGGCUUGGUAUUUUUGUGGCUGAACAUGCUAAAGAGAUGACAGGCAAUGGCAAAAAUGACGCAGUGGCUCUGGUGAGAUUAAGAGAAGGUUGUGCUCUGGAAAUUAAAGAUGACAACUUGAUCAAAUGCUUGGCGAAAACUUAUCCAUGGAGAUGGGACUGGAAAGCUAAAAAGGUUUCUGAUGGGGUGUUCUUGGUCAACUUUCCAUCAAUGGCAAGAAUCAAUGAAGCUGCUGUGUACGACUGGGUUCCUCUGAAGGGUGGAAACAUCACCGUGAAUGUCAGGGUUUGGAAUGAUGAUGCAAUGGCAGUGGGCAAAUUACCAGUGGUCUGGGUCAAAGCGAAAGGGGUUCCAAAAACUAUGAAGAACUACCAUGGGCUGUGUGAAAUUGGCUCAACUAUUGGUUAUCUCCAAACGGUUGAUAUGGAGCUGAUGAGCAAAACUGGACACGUUCGUCUCAGAGUUGUAGUGGUUGAUCACACCAAGAUUCCCAGAUGGACCAAGUUGACAACCCCUGAUUUAAUGGUGUUCAGAAUUUUCUUUGAGGUCGAAGGAGUGGUGGAAAAUGGUUGGGCUAAAGAGGAGGAUGAGAUGUCACAAGGAUAUGAGCAAUGGAUGGACUUUCAGCAAGAAGAAGAGGAAAGCAGGGAGGCUAAAAAGGCAAAGAUUAAUGAAGGGGUAUCCCAGAACCAGCUAUGUGCUAGCACAAGAACCAAGAUUGCUAUAGAAGAAAGAGACACUGCUUUGAAAGAAUAG
This 1404-nucleotide ribosomal RNA is filed under the name Triticum aestivum (bread wheat). RNAcentral's name for it is "partial small subunit ribosomal RNA". Lineage: Eukaryota; Viridiplantae; Streptophyta; Magnoliopsida; Poales; Poaceae. The record is from RNAcentral.